CCUACGGGUGGCAGCAGUGAGGAAUAUUGGUCAAUGGGCGAGAGCCUGAACCAGCCAAGUCGCGUGAAGGAUGACGGCCCUACGGGUUGUAAACUUCUUUUGUCAGGGAGCAAUUGGGUCCACGCGUGGGCUUAUCGAGAGUACCUGAAGAAAAAGCAUCGGCUAACUCCGUGCCAGCAGCCGCGGUAAUUCGGAGGAUGCGAGCGUUAUCCGGAUUUUUUGGGUUUAAAGGGUGCGUAGGCGGAAUAUCAAGUCGGCGGUAAAAAUUCGGGGCUCAACCCCGUCGUGCGGCGCAAACUGGUGUUCUUGAGUGGGCGGGAGGCAUGCGGAAUUCGUGGUGUAGCGGUGAAAUACAUAGAUAUCACGCAGAACUCCGAUUGCGAAGGCAGCAUACCGGCGCCCAACUGACGCUGAAGCACGAAAGCGUGGGUAUCGAACAGGAUUAGAUACCCGAGUAGUC
This 460-nucleotide ribosomal RNA is filed under the name uncultured bacterium. Its description in RNAcentral is "partial 16S ribosomal RNA". It matches the Rfam family "Bacterial small subunit ribosomal RNA", at positions 338 to 795 of the family's 1533-position model. The record is from RNAcentral.